GAUGAACGCUGGCGGCGUGCCUAAUACAUGCAAGUCGAGCGAACGGACGAGAAGCUUGCUUCUCUGAUGUUAGCGGCGGACGGGUGAGUAACACGUGGAUAACCUACCUAUAAGACUGGGAUAACUUCGGGAAACCGGAGCUAAUACCGGAUAAUAUUUUGAACCGCAUGAUUCAAAAGUGAAAGACGGUCUUGCUGUCACUUAUAGAUGGAUCCGCGCUGCAUUAGCUAGUUGGUAAGGUAACGGCUUACCAAGGCAACGAUGCAUAGCCGACCUGAGAGGGUGAUCGGCCACAAUGGAACUGAGACACGGUCCAGACUCCUACGGGAGGCAGCAGUAGGGAAUCUUCCGCCAUGGGCGAAAGCCUGACGGAGCAACGCCGCGUGAGUGAUGAAGGUCUUCGGAUCGUAAAACUCUGUUAUUAGGGAAGAACAUAUGUGUAAGUAACUGUGCACAUCUUGACGGUACCUAAUCAGAAAGCCACGGCUAACUACGUG
RNAcentral lists this ribosomal RNA (497 nucleotides) under uncultured bacterium. RNAcentral describes it as "partial 16S ribosomal RNA". It matches the Rfam family "Bacterial small subunit ribosomal RNA", at positions 28 to 507 of the family's 1533-position model. The record is from RNAcentral.